This is a small nucleolar RNA of Gorilla gorilla gorilla (western lowland gorilla), 119 nucleotides long. Its record names the gene SNORA63. It matches the Rfam family "Small nucleolar RNA SNORA63". From Rfam's summary of the family: E3 belongs to the H/ACA class of snoRNAs and is involved in the processing of eukaryotic pre-rRNA and has regions of complementarity to 18S rRNA. Lineage: Eukaryota; Metazoa; Chordata; Mammalia; Primates; Hominidae. The record is from Ensembl.
AUGCAGGUACUGUUAUAACUGAAGCGUUUUACGGUUUUUUCUUCCUGCUUAAAGCACUUGGUACAUAAGUAUCUCUAACUCGAUUCCAUAAUAAGACAGAGACGCUUGGUCUCAAACAU